This 336-nucleotide unclassified non-coding RNA is filed under the name soil metagenome. RNAcentral's name for it is "partial contains 5.8S ribosomal RNA, internal transcribed spacer 2, and large subunit ribosomal RNA". The stretch from base 1 to 120 matches the Rfam family "5.8S ribosomal RNA", at positions 35 to 154 of the family's 154-position model. The record is from RNAcentral.
GAUGAAGAACGCAGCGAAAUGCGAUAAGUAAUGUGAAUUGCAGAAUUCAGUGAAUCAUCGAAUCUUUGAACGCACAUUGCGCCCGCCAGUAUUCUGGCGGGCAUGCCUGUUCGAGCGUCAUUUCAACCAUCAAGCCCCAGGCUUGUGUUGGGGACCUGCGGCUGCCGCAGGCCCCGAAAACCAGUGGCGGGCUCGCUGUCACACCGGGCGUAGUAGAUUUUAUCUCGCUCAGGGCGUGCUGCGGGUCCCGGCCGUUAAAAGCCUUUUUUUACCCAAGGUUGACCUCGGAUCAGGUAGGAAGACCCGCUGAACUUAAGCAUAUCAAUAAGCGGAGGA